GCUUCUGCGCUUGCAAAAUGGCUGCGUCGUGUUUUUCUUAGUGAAAUCAUAUGAAAUAGCCGUUUUAUAGUGAAAUUUACGAUCAUAAUUUAUUAAUUUAUUGUUUUAAUAAAUUUAUCUCGGACGUAGUGACCAUGUAAAUCAUUUAAAGUGUUAAGAAAGGAACAUUAAAUGUUAACUGGUGCAACUGAACAUUGAUUAUUCGUUUGGCGUUUCACCUAACAGGAACCCGCCACGAUUUACCAGAUAGAUAAUAACCCAGUUAAUACAUUAUUUCUAAUUUAGUUACAGCAUGUCAAACAGUGUUGUUAAGGUUACUGAAUUGCCAACAAAUGAGGGUUUAUUUGUUCUUAAAGGAAAAGACGGAGUUAUAAUGCCAGAUCGAGAAACAUUAGAAAAAUAUUUGAGUGGACGAAAACAAGAAACUGAAAUAAACUUAAUUUGUAUUAAUGAGGCUUAUGGAAACAAUAU
This is a long non-coding RNA of Agrilus planipennis (emerald ash borer), 471 nucleotides long. RefSeq lists it as uncharacterized. NCBI's taxonomy places the organism in Eukaryota, Metazoa, Arthropoda, Insecta, Coleoptera, Buprestidae. The record is from RefSeq and is a predicted model, not a curated record. The transcript has 3 exons.